GGGCUCGUAGCUCAGUGGAAGAGUGCCUCCUUCGCGAGGAGGAAGCCACGGGUUCAAAUCCCGUCGAGUCCA
Molecule: non-coding RNA, 72 nt
Organism: Desulfuromonadales bacterium C00003096
Lineage: Bacteria; Pseudomonadati; Thermodesulfobacteriota; Desulfuromonadia; Desulfuromonadales
Source: Rfam